Molecule: ribosomal RNA, 524 nt
Filed under: Pseudomonas sp. 12707
Lineage: Bacteria; Pseudomonadati; Pseudomonadota; Gammaproteobacteria; Pseudomonadales; Pseudomonadaceae
Description: bacterial SSU rRNA
Rfam family: Bacterial small subunit ribosomal RNA
Source: RNAcentral
UGGAGAGUUUGAUCCUGGCUCAGAUUGAACGCUGGCGGCAGGCCUAACACAUGCAAGUCGAGCGGCAGCACGGGUACUUGUACCUGGUGGCGAGCGGCGGACGGGUGAGUAAUGCCUAGGAAUCUGCCUGGUAGUGGGGGAUAACGCUCGGAAACGGRCGCUAAUACCGCAUACGUCCUACGGGAGAAAGCAGGGGACCUUCGGGCCUUGCGCUAUCAGAUGAGCCUAGGUCGGAUUAGCUAGUUGGUGAGGUAAUGGCUCACCAAGGCGACGAUCCGUAACUGGUCUGAGAGGAUGAUCAGUCACACUGGAACUGAGACACGGUCCAGACUCCUACGGGAGGCAGCAGUGGGGAAUAUUGGACAAUGGGCGAAAGCCUGAUCCAGCCAUGCCGCGUGUGUGAAGAAGGUCUUCGGAUUGUAAAGCACUUUAAGUUGGGAGGAAGGGCAGUUACCUAAUACGUAAUUGUUUUGACGUUACCGACAGAAUAAGCACCGGCUAACUCUGUGCCAGCAGCCGCGGUA